AACGAACGCUGGCGGCAUGCCUAACACAUGCAAGUCGAACGAAGGCUUCGGCCUUAGUGGCGCACGGGUGCGUAACGCGUGGGAACCUGCCCCUCGGUUCGGAAUAACAGUUAGAAAUGACUGCUAAUACCGGAUGAUGACUUCGGUCCAAAGAUUUAUCGCCGAGGGAUGGGCCCGCGUAGGAUUAGCUAGUUGGUGGGGUAAAGGCCUACCAAGGCGACGAUCCUUAGCUGGUCUGAGAGGAUGAUCAGCCACACUGGGACUGAGACACGGCCCAGACUCCUACGGGAGGCAGCAGUGGGGAAUAUUGGACAAUGGGCGAAAGCCUGAUCCAGCAAUGCCGCGUGAGUGAUGAAGGCCUUAGGGUUGUAAAGCUCUUUUACCAGGGAUGAUAAUGACAGUACCUGGAGAAUAAGCUCCGGCUAACUCCGUGCCAGCAGCCGCGGU
RNAcentral lists this ribosomal RNA (447 nucleotides) under uncultured bacterium. RNAcentral's name for it is "bacterial SSU rRNA". It matches the Rfam family "Bacterial small subunit ribosomal RNA", at positions 29 to 521 of the family's 1533-position model. The record is from RNAcentral.